This 200-nucleotide small nucleolar RNA is filed under the name Punica granatum (pomegranate). RNAcentral describes it as "Plant small nucleolar RNA U3". It matches the Rfam family "Plant small nucleolar RNA U3". From Rfam's summary of the family: Small nucleolar RNAs (snoRNAs) are involved in the processing and modification of rRNA in the nucleolus. The record is from Rfam by way of RNAcentral. Lineage: Eukaryota; Viridiplantae; Streptophyta; Magnoliopsida; Myrtales; Lythraceae.
AUGUUCAAGUAAGGCCAUGCCUUUAUGUCCUUGAGUUCUAAGGAGACAAAAACCAAAGUCUGGUGGAUGAAGCACGGCUAUGCGACCAGAGCGUGCGUAGUGGCUUCGUCGGCCUCACGGGGCCGCCGGUUGCGGCGGAGGAUCGUUCUCAACCCCUGGAAUCAGAGUUUUGAGGUGGUUGCAUGGCGUUCUGACAAAAA